CUUCGCUGCAAGCCUUUCUUCAAGAAUUACAUGAAAUGUCAUAUGGACGAAGAUGAUCGACUAGAGGGAGCUUUUUCUUCCAGGAAAACACAUCAAAGCAUCAGCUGCUUUCCUUCUCUCCUAAUGCCAAAUUUAUUUGGCUGUAUAUUGUUCCUUGGAAAGCAUAAAGCAAAAGAAGAAAGAGACCAAGAUUUGCGACAGACCAAGAAGUAACUGAUCCUCAAAUUGCAUCUCAGGCACCAACGCAUUGCUUAAUUUUCUUUUUCAUCAACUCGAUUCUGCUCUCUCUAAAUUUUAACCGUUCAUAUAUAUAUAUAUAUAUAUAUAUAACCGGUUGAGAUUUGAAGGGUUGAGAUUUGAAGGACGAAUAUUAUGAACGAUCUCCCCCCGUCUCUCUCUCUCUCUCUCUCUGAAGUACAUCUGUACAUGCAUGAUACUUCUGCUCCAAAAAAUAUUGUCAUCCCAUCCGCACUGUGCUCCCAGCUAGCCAUUCCUUCUCCACGCAGUCUCCAUCGAUGGGUGGCUUCUGUUGCUCCACCACAGCCGGUCAAAUCGAUAUCACAAAUAACAGGAAGAAAUAAUAUCUUCUUCCUCAUCCUCUUCCUCCGCAUGAGUGAGAUCGGUCGGAGCCAUAGGCCCCGGAUUUGUGCCACCUUCAUCGCCUCGCCCCUCGAUCCUAUCACGAUCGUUGGCACCACGCCCAGUACAACU
This 711-nucleotide long non-coding RNA is filed under the name Musa acuminata (dwarf banana). Its description in RNAcentral is "long non-coding RNA (MACU_LNC007277)". The record is from RNAcentral. Lineage: Eukaryota; Viridiplantae; Streptophyta; Magnoliopsida; Zingiberales; Musaceae.